CGUAGGUGAACCUGCGGAAGGAUCAUUCAUAAUAAGUGUUUUAUGGCACUUUUUUAAAUCCAUAUCCACCUUGUGUGCAAUGUCAGGGUUGAUUUUUCUCUCGAGAGGAUCAGCCCCAAACAUCAACUAUAUCUCAACUCUUUGUCUGAAAAAUAUUAUGAAUAAAACAAUUCAAAAUGCAACUUUCAACAACGGAUCUCUUGGCUCUC
This 209-nucleotide unclassified non-coding RNA is filed under the name plant metagenome. Its description in RNAcentral is "partial contains small subunit ribosomal RNA, internal transcribed spacer 1, and 5.8S ribosomal RNA". The record is from RNAcentral.